CUCUCUCAGAGAAUUCCUCUUCCUCGAAGGACCAAGAUGGCAGCAGUGACUCUGCUAGCUUUGGCAUAUACCCAGGUGGGUUUGGGCAUUAGCACUCUGCUGAUGUACGUCCCAACUCCUUUGGCUGCCACUCACCAGUCGGGCUCCUUGGCUCUGCUCAGUGCUGCCCUUUGGCUCAUGAACGAACUCCGCAGAGUCCCAAAAUAAUUCUAAGAGGAUCAGGCUUCAUAGGACUGAAACUGUGCUUUUGAGAGCUCAUCAGAGAGCACAAGACCUUUUCUAAGAGAAUGACCUUGGCCUAUCAAGUGGUUUCCAAAUUGGCCAAGUUUUUAAAAAUUCUUUGCCUGUUUUUGAGACAGUCACAGGAUCAAGAAUGUCAUCAAGUAUGGUUACACUGAAAGUUCCCUUUGAAAUCUGUCAUGUUGAAAAUCAGGUUUAAUGUAGGGAAAAAAAAAUAUCUGCCAUUUGCUGCUUCCUCAGGUUUCUAAUGUUGGCAUGCUCUUGGUUCUACAUACAUCAUCUCUGUCUCUUCACCUCCUGAGUCCUGAAUUCUGCCUAAGCGGAAACCUUACCUUCACUUUCAUCAGGUGAAGAUUCAAAGGGAAGAAUUGGCACACCCUAAAGCAGCCACGUAACCUUCAACAAGAAAGAGCUAGUGUCUUCCAAGUAUCCUGAUUUUCAAAAAUAGGUAAAGGGUAGGUUGUGACAAGCUUGAUGUGUGUGCAGCAGAAUGGUUUAUAGGUACUUAGAAAAGGAGGUAAUCACUAGUAACCCACUUGGACUCAUCAGGCAAUCACCUACAUAGUGCUGUUACAUUGCUAGGUCGGAUGAAUGGAAUAGAUAAUAUAAAUUUUUCUAAUGGAUGAAUAAAAUGUGGCCUUGAGGUGGCCAUAGACAUUUAAACAAAUUGUUGAUUAAUGAAUUUAGUGUGAUUUUAGUCUCUUGAUAUUUCACAGAGCUCUGUCUCAGUCAACUUAAUUUUUAAAUCAGUGUUUGGAUGAAGGCAUCAGAUCAGAUUUGAGGAUGGAGCAGCCCAACAUUGCUAAUAGAUGACAGUCACAGCUCCAAACUGUUCCAGAGUAACAUGAUCAAGAUGAAAUUAAACAGGUUAUAAAUAUAACAUCUUCAUUUAAAUUAGAUAGGUUAUUUUAGUUUGGGGUGGAGAAACCUGGCUUCCUAUCAUUUCAUAUAAAAAAAGACAGGGAUUUUAGUUGGCCGCAGGCUCAACACAAACCAACAAAAUGAUGAUGACGGCAAUCAAAAUUAGUGGUGUUUCAGAUUUUAUCAAUACAAAUUUCACAGCCAUAGAAUACCUCGGUGCAAGUGCUGCAUUUCACUCCAGGUACCAAAUUUAAGGAGGACCUUUACCACUAAGUAUCCAAAGGAAGGGACAAGGAUGGUGAGGAGUCCAGAACCCAUAUCCCAAAAAAUACUUGAAGGAACUGGGGGUAUUUAGCUGGAGAACAUUUGGAGAGAGCAAGAUUCCUUUCUCAACAGGUUGAAGACCUCAUGCAGGAGAAAUGAGCUGCUUUUGUGCUGCAAAGCUGGAGCGAUGGUCCAAAGUUGCAAAAAGCUAGUUUUUAGUUUUGCAACAGGCAAGAGUAAGUUGGACCAAAUCAGAUGCCCACUAGGGUCAGUCUGGUUGAGACGGUGGCAAAGUAGUGCCCCAGCUAACAGGCUGAACCACUGCUGAGCUCUGGCAUAUUGCUGCUCUGCACAUCCAGGGUUGUCAGAUCUGAUUUUUUUUUUAAAGAAGCCAAACACCUAGAUUUUUAUGGGAAAGCUCUCAAUUAAGUGCUGGCAACUAAUUUCAAAUUUGGGGCAUAUUACGCAGGUGGUAACAUGUUUGGGAGCCAAAAAUGACCUAAGGCUUGCCUGCUUACAGUCUCUGGACCACGUGAUCUCAGUUCCCUUUCAACUCCAGUAUUCUGUGAGUUUCAGUGUGACUUAGAAUGCACCAUUCUCAAGUGGUUCCUGGCAAAACAGAAGUAGGCACUUUGUCCUUGAAUUUUAGAAAGUCUCAGAGCCUGGGGCUUAUGCUAUAAUUAGAAGUGGUUCCCAACUUUAGAUCCUUAAAAAUCCUAAGCCCAAGCCUCACCCAAGACCAAUUAAAUUACAGUAUCUGGAAGCAGUAAUAGGCCUAUUUCUAAGUUCCCCUGGUGACUCCAAUGUGCAGGCAAGUUCAUUGGCCUAAGCCCUCAUAGCCUAGUUACUUUAGAAGUUUUGACUACUUAUUCUCAUUCCCUCUGAAUUUCCACCCCACCCUAUCUCAUUUAACCUGCUGUGUUGUAGCAUGUUAAUGGGAUAUACCUCUUCAGAAUUCUUUUAAAAUGGGAACUGUAGUCCCUGGGGUAGGUUCCCAUACUAUCUCCUGAUCCCCAAAGGUUGUCCUUAGUUAAAUAACAGCAGAGGGCAGUGUGGUCCAACCCAAAAAACCAUAUGCUAAUGCCUUUCCGGUUCCCUUCAACAAAGCAAUGAAUAAGUUCAAGUUUCAGAUGUUUUACUUCAUUUUUCUUUUAUUAAAGAUGAAUAUUUGGAAAAAA
Long non-coding RNA from Pteropus alecto (black flying fox), 2543 nucleotides. RefSeq lists it as uncharacterized. The record is from RefSeq and is a predicted model, not a curated record. The transcript is spliced from 2 exons. Lineage: Eukaryota; Metazoa; Chordata; Mammalia; Chiroptera; Pteropodidae.